GGGUUCAGCCGCUAGAUUCCAUGAGCGCAGCAUUUGCUCGCUUAUAGAAGUUCGGUCAGGGUUCGAUCUCCAUAGAAGCCCGGAUGGGGAUCAUUUAUCGAGGAAUCUUGGCCAAGGCCUGUCUGCAAUAGAAAUUCAAAAGGAAUUCAUCCAUAAUGGAAGCUUGGGUGAAGGCUUAUGGUGGGAAUCCGGCACGGGCCGCUCGUGGUAGAAAUUUGAAGUAGAUCCCGUGGGAGCCCGGACGAAGUCUACCUAC
Molecule: long non-coding RNA, 256 nt
Filed under: Elaeis guineensis (African oil palm)
Lineage: Eukaryota; Viridiplantae; Streptophyta; Magnoliopsida; Arecales; Arecaceae
Description: long non-coding RNA (EGUI_LNC077518)
Source: RNAcentral